AUACGUAGGGGGCGAGCGUUGUCCGGAAUGAUUGGGCGUAAAGGGCGCGUAGGCGGCGCGGUAAGUCUGGAGUGAAAGUCCUGCUUUCAAGGUGGGAAUUGCUUUGGAUACUGCCGCGCUUGAGUGCAGGAGAGGUUAUCGGAAUUCCCGGUGUAGCGGUGAAAUGCGUAGAGAUCGGGAGGAACACCAGUGGCGAAGGCGGGUAACUGGACUGCAACUGACGCUGAGGCGCGAAAGUGUGGGGAGCAAACAGGAUUAGAUACCCUGGUAGUCCACACUGUAAACGAUGAAUGCUAGGUGUAAGAGGUAUCGACCCCUUUUGUGCCGGAGUCAACACAAUAAGCAUUCCGCCUGGGGAGUACGGCCGCGAGGUUGAAACUCAAAUGAAUUGACGGGG
RNAcentral lists this ribosomal RNA (397 nucleotides) under uncultured bacterium. RNAcentral's name for it is "partial 16S ribosomal RNA". It matches the Rfam family "Bacterial small subunit ribosomal RNA", at positions 523 to 918 of the family's 1533-position model. The record is from RNAcentral.